Molecule: microRNA precursor, 174 nt
Filed under: Pelobates cultripes (western spadefoot toad)
Lineage: Eukaryota; Metazoa; Chordata; Amphibia; Anura; Pelobatidae
Source: RNAcentral
GUCAGCAGACACAUCCAGCCAAUCAGCAGCAGACCCUCCCUCCCAGACCCUCCCACCUCCUGGACAGCUCACUAAGAAUGCAGCUUCACAAUGAAUGUAAAAUGGAUGCUGUCCAGGAGGCGGGAAGGUCUGGGAGGGAGGGUCUGCUGCUGAUUGGCUGGAAUGUGUCUGCUG